RNAcentral lists this ribosomal RNA (428 nucleotides) under uncultured bacterium. Its description in RNAcentral is "partial 16S ribosomal RNA". It matches the Rfam family "Bacterial small subunit ribosomal RNA", at positions 354 to 796 of the family's 1533-position model. The record is from RNAcentral.
GUGGGGAAUAUUGGGCAAUGGGCGCAAGCCUGACCCAGCAACGCCGCGUGAGGGAAGAAGGCUUUCGGGUUGUAAACCUCUGUCCUUGGUGACGAAAAAAAUGACGGUAGCCAAGGAGGAAGCUCCGGCUAACUACGUGCCAGCAGCCGCGGUAAUACGUAGGGGGCGAGCGUUGUCCGGAAUUACUGGGCGUAAAGGGUGCGUAGGUGGCCUUUUAAGUUGGAUGUGAAAUACCCGGGCUUAACUUGGGGGGUGCAUCCAAAACUGGGAGGCUAGAGUGCAGGAGAGGAAAGCGGAAUUCCUAGUGUAGCGGUGAAAUGCGUAGAUAUUAGGAGGAACACCAGUGGCGAAGGCGGCUUUCUGGACUGUAACUGACACUGAGGCACGAAAGCGUGGGGAGCAAACAGGAUUAGAUACCCCGGUAGUCC